UUGUAAUCAGUGUUUCACAAUUGAUGCAGAGCUAUAUUUCCAUGUCUUGCACACUUUUUAGAAAUUUUCACGUGUGGUAGGGUUCCCAAUUACACAUUUUCCUCUGUUCGGCACAUCACAUUGACACAUGCAAGAAAAGAGCAUAUUCUGUGAACAUGUUCCUUGGCAAUAGCGCAUAUAACAUUGCCUCACAGUGCUGCAUUAACGAAC
This is a non-coding RNA of Pelobates cultripes (western spadefoot toad), 210 nucleotides long. The record is from the annotation of a GenBank genome assembly. NCBI's taxonomy places the organism in Eukaryota, Metazoa, Chordata, Amphibia, Anura, Pelobatidae.